ACUAAGCGUACACGGUGGAUGCCCUGGCAGUCAGAGGCGAUGAAGGACGUGCUAAUCUGCGAUAAGCGUCGGUAAGGUGAUAUGAACCGUUAUAACCGGCGAUUUCCGAAUGGGGAAACCCAGUGUGUUUCGACACACUAUCAUUAACUGAAUCCAUAGGUUAAUGAGGCGAACCGGGGGAACUGAAACAUCUAAGUACCCCGAGGAAAAGAAAUCAACCGAGAUUCCCCCAGUAGCGGCGAGCGAACGGGGAGCAGCCCAGAGCCUGAAUCAGUGUGUGUGUUAGUGGAAGCGUCUGGAAAGGCGCGCGAUACAGGGUGACAGCCCCGUACACAAAAAUGCACAUACUGUGAGCUCGAUGAGUAGGGCGGGACACGUGGUAUCCUGUCUGAAUAUGGGGGGACCAUCCUCCAAGGCUAAAUACUCCUGACUGACCGAUAGUGAACCAGUACCGUGAGGGAAAGGCGAAAAGAACCCCGGCGAGGGGAGUGAAAAAGAACCUGAAACCGUGUACGUACAAGCAGUGGGAGCCUCUUUAUGGGGUGACUGCGUACCUUUUGUAUAAUGGGUCAGCGACUUAUAUUCUGUAGCAAGGUUAACCGAAUAGGGGAGCCGAAGGGAAACCGAGUCUUAACUGGGCGUUAAGUUGCAGGGUAUAGACCCGAAACCCGGUGAUCUAGCCAUGGGCAGGUUGAAGGUUGGGUAACACUAACUGGAGGACCGAACCGACUAAUGUUGAAAAAUUAGCGGAUGACUUGUGGCUGGGGGUGAAAGGCCAAUCAAACCGGGAGAUAGCUGGUUCUCCCCGAAAGCUAUUUAGGUAGCGCCUCGUGAAUUCAUCUCCGGGGGUAGAGCACUGUUUCGGCAAGGGGGUCAUCCCGACUUACCAACCCGAUGCAAACUGCGAAUACCGGAGAAUGUUAUCACGGGAGACACACGGCGGGUGCUAACGUCCGUCGUGAAGAGGGAAACAACCCAGACCGCCAGCUAAGGUCCCAAAGUCAUGGUUAAGUGGGAAACGAUGUGGGAAGGCCCAGACAGCCAGGAUGUUGGCUUAGAAGCAGCCAUCAUUUAAAGAAAGCGUAAUAGCUCACUGGUCGAGUCGGCCUGCGCGGAAGAUGUAACGGGGCUAAACCAUGCACCGAAGCUGCGGCAGCGACACUAUGUGUUGUUGGGUAGGGGAGCGUUCUGUAAGCCUGUGAAGGUGUACUGUGAGGUAUGCUGGAGGUAUCAGAAGUGCGAAUGCUGACAUAAGUAACGAUAAAGCGGGUGAAAAGCCCGCUCGCCGGAAGACCAAGGGUUCCUGUCCAACGUUAAUCGGGGCAGGGUGAGUCGACCCCUAAGGCGAGGCCGAAAGGCGUAGUCGAUGGGAAACAGGUUAAUAUUCCUGUACUUGGUGUUACUGCGAAGGGGGGACGGAGAAGGCUAUGUUGGCCGGGCGACGGUUGUCCCGGUUUAAGCGUGUAGGCUGGUUUUCCAGGCAAAUCCGGAAAAUCAAGGCUGAGGCGUGAUGACGAGGCACUACGGUGCUGAAGCAACAAAUGCCCUGCUUCCAGGAAAAGCCUCUAAGCAUCAGGUAACAUCAAAUCGUACCCCAAACCGACACAGGUGGUCAGGUAGAGAAUACCAAGGCGCUUGAGAGAACUCGGGUGAAGGAACUAGGCAAAAUGGUGCCGUAACUUCGGGAGAAGGCACGCUGAUAUGUAGGUGAAGUCCCUCGCGGAUGGAGCUGAAAUCAGUCGAAGAUACCAGCUGGCUGCAACUGUUUAUUAAAAACACAGCACUGUGCAAACACGAAAGUGGACGUAUACGGUGUGACGCCUGCCCGGUGCCGGAAGGUUAAUUGAUGGGGUCAGCGCAAGCGAAGCUCUUGAUCGAAGCCCCGGUAAACGGCGGCCGUAACUAUAACGGUCCUAAGGUAGCGAAAUUCCUUGUCGGGUAAGUUCCGACCUGCACGAAUGGCGUAAUGAUGGCCAGGCUGUCUCCACCCGAGACUCAGUGAAAUUGAACUCGCUGUGAAGAUGCAGUGUACCCGCGGCAAGACGGAAAGACCCCGUGAACCUUUACUAUAGCUUGACACUGAACAUUGAGCCUUGAUGUGUAGGAUAGGUGGGAGGCUUAGAAGUGUGGACGCCAGUCUGCAUGGAGCCGACCUUGAAAUACCACCCUUUAAUGUUUGAUGUUCUAACGUGGACCCGUGAUCCGGGUUGCGGACAGUGUCUGGUGGGUAGUUUGACUGGGGCGGUCUCCUCCUAAAGAGUAACGGAGGAGCACGAAGGUUGGCUAAUCCUGGUCGGACAUCAGGAGGUUAGUGCAAUGGCAUAAGCCAGCUUGACUGCGAGCGUGACGGCGCGAGCAGGUGCGAAAGCAGGUCAUAGUGAUCCGGUGGUUCUGAAUGGAAGGGCCAUCGCUCAACGGAUAAAAGGUACUCCGGGGAUAACAGGCUGAUACCGCCCAAGAGUUCAUAUCGACGGCGGUGUUUGGCACCUCGAUGUCGGCUCAUCACAUCCUGGGGCUGAAGUAGGUCCCAAGGGUAUGGCUGUUCGCCAUUUAAAGUGGUACGCGAGCUGGGUUUAGAACGUCGUGAGACAGUUCGGUCCCUAUCUGCCGUGGGCGCUGGAGAACUGAGGGGGGCUGCUCCUAGUACGAGAGGACCGGAGUGGACGCAUCACUGGUGUUCGGGUUGUCAUGCCAAUGGCACUGCCCGGUAGCUAAAUGCGGAAGAGAUAAGUGCUGAAAGCAUCUAAGCACGAAACUUGCCCCGAGAUGAGUUCUCCCUGACCCUUUAAGGGUCCUGAAGGAACGUUGAAGACGACGACGUUGAUAGGCCGGGUGUGUAAGCGCAGCGAUGCGUUGAGCUAACCGGUACUAAUGAACCGUGAGGCUUAACC
This 2891-nucleotide ribosomal RNA is filed under the name Escherichia coli. RNAcentral's name for it is "bacterial LSU rRNA". It matches the Rfam family "Bacterial large subunit ribosomal RNA". The record is from RNAcentral. Lineage: Bacteria; Pseudomonadati; Pseudomonadota; Gammaproteobacteria; Enterobacterales; Enterobacteriaceae.